CAAUAGCGUAUAUUAAAGUUGUUGCAGUUAAAAAGCUCGUAGUUGGAUUUGUGGCGUACGGUGUGUUCCGGGCACUUGUUGUCUGAGUAACCUGCUGUUGCCAUCCUUGGGUGGAACCUGUGUGGCAUUAGGUUGUCGUGCAGGGGAUGCCCAUCAUUUACUGUGAAAAAAUUAGAGUGUUCAAAGCAGGCUUAUGCCGUUGAAUAUAUUAGCAUGGAAUAAUGAGAUAGGACUUUUUUGCUAUUUUGUUGGGUUGCGCAAAGAGGUAAUGAUUAAUAGGGACAGUUGGGGGUAUUCGUAUUCCAUUGUCAGAGGUGAAAUUCUUGGAUUUUUGGAAGACGAACUACUGCGAAAGCAUUUACCAAGGAUGUUUUCAUUAA
RNAcentral lists this ribosomal RNA (380 nucleotides) under uncultured eukaryote. Its description in RNAcentral is "partial 18S ribosomal RNA". It matches the Rfam family "Eukaryotic small subunit ribosomal RNA", at positions 592 to 976 of the family's 1831-position model. The record is from RNAcentral.